UUGUUGGUAAGGUAAAAGCUUACCAAGGCUUCGAUCAGUAGCUGGUCUGAGAGGACGGCCAGCCACACUGGGACUGAGACACGGCCCAGACUCCUACGGGAGGCAGCAGUGGGGAAUUUUGGACAAUGGGGGAAACCCUGAUCCAGCCAUGCCGCGUGAGUGAAGAAGGCCUUCGGGUUGUAAAGCUCUUUCAGCCGGAACGAAACGGUUACGGAUAAUACCCGUGACUACUGACGGUACCGGAAGAAGAAGCACCGGCUAACUACGUGCCAGCAGCCGCGGUAAUACGUAGGGUGCGAGCGUUAAUCGGAAUUACUGGGCGUAAAGCGUGCGCAGGUGGUUUUGUAAGUCAGAUGUGAAAGCCCCGGGCUCAACCUGGGAACUGCGUUUGAAACUACAAGACUAGAGUGUGGCAGAGGGGGGUGGAAUUCCGCGUGUAGCAGUGAAAUGCGUAGAGAUGUGGAGGAACACCGAUGGCGAAGGCAGCCCCCUGGGUUAACACUGACACUCAGGCACGAAAGCAUGGGGAGCAAACAGGAUUAGAUACCCUGGUAGUCCAUGCCCUAAACGAUGUCAACUAGUUGUCGGGCCUUUACGGGCUUGGUAACGUAGCUAACGCGUGAAGUUGACCGCCUGGGGAGUACGAUCGCAAGAUUAAAACUCAAAUGAAUUGACGGGGACCCGCACAAGCGGUGGAUUAUGUGGAUUAAUUCGAUGCAACGCGAAAAACCUUACCUACCCUUGACAUGUAUCGAAGCCCGCAGAAAAGCGGGGGUGCCCGAAAGGGAACGAUAACACAGGUGCUGCAUGGCUGUCGUCAGCUCGUGUCGUGAGAUGUUGGGUUAAGUCCCGCAACGAGCGCAACCCUUGUCAUUAAUUGCCAUCAUUUAGUUGGGCACUUUAAUGAGACUGCCGG
Molecule: ribosomal RNA, 916 nt
Filed under: uncultured bacterium
Lineage: Bacteria
Description: bacterial SSU rRNA
Rfam family: Bacterial small subunit ribosomal RNA
Source: RNAcentral